Molecule: non-coding RNA, 75 nt
Organism: Parelaphostrongylus tenuis
Lineage: Eukaryota; Metazoa; Nematoda; Chromadorea; Rhabditida; Metastrongylidae
Source: the annotation of a GenBank genome assembly
GCCUCGGUGUUUUAGUUGUAGUAACACACGUCCUCGGUAUGGGAUAUAACGCGGGUUCGAUCCCCGCUUGAGGCC